ACUGGGCGUAAAGAGUUGCGUAGGUGGUUUGUUAAGUAGGUAGUGAAAUCUGGCGGCUCAACCGUACAGGCUAUUACCUAAACUGGCAAACUCGAGAAUGGUAGAGGUCACUGGAAUUUCUAGUGUAGGAGUGAAAUCCGUAGAUAUUAGAAGGAACACCAAUGGCGUAGGCAGGUGACUGGACCAUUUCUGACACUGAGGCACGAAAGCGUGGGGAGCGAACCGGAUUAGAUACCCGGGUAGUCCACGCUGUAAACGAUGGAUACUGGCUGUUUGGGGUAUCGACCCCCCAAGUAGCGAAGCUAACGCGUUAAGUAUCCCGCCUGUGGAGUACGGUCGCAAGACUAAAA
RNAcentral lists this ribosomal RNA (350 nucleotides) under uncultured Candidatus Saccharibacteria bacterium. RNAcentral's name for it is "bacterial SSU rRNA". It matches the Rfam family "Bacterial small subunit ribosomal RNA", at positions 553 to 899 of the family's 1533-position model. Lineage: Bacteria; Candidatus Saccharimonadota. The record is from RNAcentral.